UGGGGAAUAUUGGACAAUGGGGGCAACCCUGAUCCAGCCAUGCCGCGUGUGUGAAGAAGGCCUUUUGGUUGUAAAGCACUUUAAGCAGGGAGGAGAGGCUAAUGGUUAAUACCCAUUAGAUUAGACGUUACCUGCAGAAUAAGCACCGGCUAACUCUGUGCCAGCAGCCGCGGUAACACAGAGGGUGCGAGCGUUAAUCGGAAUUACUGGGCGUAAAGCGAGUGUAGGUGGCUCAUUAAGUCACAUGUGAAAUCCCCGGGCUUAACCUGGGAACUGCAUGUGAUACUGGUGGUGCUAGAAUAUGUGAGAGGGAAGUAGAAUUCCAGGUGUAGCGGUGAAAUGCGUAGAGAUCUGGAGGAAUACCGAUGGCGAAGGCAGCUUCCUGGCAUAAUAUUGACACUGAGAUUCGAAAGCGUGGGUAGCAAACAGGAUUAGAUACCCUGGUAGUCCACGCCGUAAACGAUGUCUACUAGCCGUUGGGGUCCUUGAGACUUUAGUGGCGCAGUUAACGCGAUAAGUAGACCGCCUGGGGGAGUACGGCCGCAAGGUU
RNAcentral lists this ribosomal RNA (550 nucleotides) under uncultured bacterium. RNAcentral's name for it is "partial 16S ribosomal RNA". It matches the Rfam family "Bacterial small subunit ribosomal RNA", at positions 355 to 895 of the family's 1533-position model. The record is from RNAcentral.